AUGGACACUUUCUCCCAUGUUCCACCGGGUUUCCGGUUUCAUCCUACUGACGAGGAGCUCGUUGAUUAUUACUUGAGGAAGAAGGUGGCAUCAAAGAAGAUUGACCUGGACGUCAUAAAGGACGUUGAUUUGUACAAAAUCGAGCCAUGGGAUCUCCAAGACAAGUGCAAGAUCGGUAUGGAGGAGCAGAACGACUGGUACUUCUUCAGCCACAAGGACAAGAAGUACCCAACGGGCACCCGCACCAACAGGGCGACGAGCGCGGGGUUCUGGAAGGCGACGGGGAGGGACAAACCCAUCUACACCAACAACUGCCUCGUCGGGAUGAGGAAGACGCUCGUCUUCUACAAGGGCCGUGCGCCCAACGGCCAGAAGUCGGACUGGAUCAUGCAUGAGUACCGCCUCGAGACCAACGAGAACGGAGCCACGCCCGUAUGUAAUUAUUCAUCGCUCCAUCCUUACCUGUAUGCAUUUCACUUGCUAACCAUGGAUAUUGCUGGUUUGAUCCUUCAGGAGGAAGGAUGGGUGGUCUGCCGGGUGUUCAAGAAGCGAGUCGCAACGGUGCGGAGGAUGGCAGAUAUGAACUCGCCUUGCUGGUUCGACGACCAUGGCGCUGGCGGUGGGUUCAUGCCGGAUCUCGACUCGCCGAGGCAGCUCGGGUACCAGCACCAGAACUUGGCGGCGUACCACAGCCAGCCGCAGCAGCAGCAGCAUCUGUACCACUGCAAGCCAGAGCUGGAGUACCAUCACCUCCUGCCGCAGGAGGCCUUCAUGCAACAGCUUCCUCUUCUGGAGAGCCCCAAGCCUACAGCCUACAUUGGCCACGGCAGCAGCAGCAGCGUACCAUCGUCAAUCAGCAACCACCCCCUUGCGCACGACGGAGCCUCCAGGUUCGCAGCGCAUCAACCGCCGAUGGACCAUGCACUUUACACCGGUGACUCGUCGGCCACGGACUGGAGGCUCCUCGACAAGUUCGUCGCGUCUCAGCUGUUCAGUCAUGACGGUACCAAUCCCAAGGAGCAGGCCACUCACCCCAAUCCGGCUAUGCAGGUGUUCCAGGUUGAGAACAAGCAUGAUCAGGCCUUGGACUACGCUUCAACGUCUGCCGGCGGCUCCGGCGGAGGCUCGGCUCAUCUGUGGAAAUAG
This 1146-nucleotide ribosomal RNA is filed under the name Triticum aestivum (bread wheat). RNAcentral describes it as "partial small subunit ribosomal RNA". Lineage: Eukaryota; Viridiplantae; Streptophyta; Magnoliopsida; Poales; Poaceae. The record is from RNAcentral.